Molecule: long non-coding RNA, 1056 nt
Organism: Balaenoptera musculus (blue whale)
Lineage: Eukaryota; Metazoa; Chordata; Mammalia; Artiodactyla; Balaenopteridae
Exons: 3
Source: RefSeq, a predicted model, not a curated record
GCCCAGGUCCUUAGAAAAAGAGAGAGGCUGGGUAAAGAAGUCGAGACCAGAGUAACCGGUUUAGGGCGUCAGGAGUGAGGGGCUGGGCUAGAACCUGGUCUGCGCCAUUAAUUCCAGGCAGAGAAAACCUUCAGCAUUCACCUCCCUCAAAGGCUGGGGAAAAGAGGGAAAACCGCACCCGUGCUGGAAGUACAACAGAGAGGGACAGAGGGAAGGAUGCACUUCCCUGUGUGAUUUUCCUAACUGCAGUACUGGCUUCUAUCGCCUUUGGAAAACAUCGUCCUAGGAAAGAGUUCCCUCAAGUACAAGAGGCCCUGAGCUGCGGAGCACCCAGCAACGCGCCAGCACCCUAAAGUAUUUCACAGCCCCGAGUCCAGUGCUCAAGGAGAUGCGGAGAGACCAACAGAAACCAGUGGCACAGGGCAGCUCACUCCCCUGGGAGGGCGUCUGGCAAUCAGCACGCCACCAGCUGCAGGAAGAUGCCCACAGUCAAAAUAGCAACUGACGUGGGGACACAAGAAGGAGAGGGAGCUAAAAUAAGCACACAAUCCUCCCUGGUGACAUCCAGAAACACCACCUCCCCUCUGUCCUUGGGGACACCUUCCUAUGGGGACACGCUUGCCACUUUAUGGGCUUUAUGCUGCCACCAGGUGGGCUUCCCAUGUGUCCCAUUACAGCACAGGUUCUUAAAAGGCCAUGUCAGGUCCUCGUGCAUUUUCAAAUAUGCUCCUGUAAAACCCUGGGAGGUGUUCCGCUCCACAGUUCAAAGGAUGUACGUGUCAUCCAAAAUUGCAAGCAGAAAAAUUAAGUUAAUGGGCUGAAUUCUCAAUUUUAAGUUCUCUCAUACAUUAUUUCUCAAAUUCUUUGGUGUCUCCUACUACUUGCCUAAGAGCAACCACAAAAUAAAUAAACAAGUAGCAAACAAACCUUGAAGGAAAACUCAGCUUGCUGUUUGACAGAUAUUAUAUGCUUGGGAAUAUGAUUUCAUAUUGUUUACGGCAUCCAAAUAUAGAGCUAUGUGUCCCUCAAAAUUAAUCUGUUGAAAUCCUAAUCCCC